Frankliniella occidentalis (western flower thrips) is the source of this 357-nucleotide long non-coding RNA. RefSeq lists it as uncharacterized. The transcript is spliced from 2 exons. NCBI's taxonomy places the organism in Eukaryota, Metazoa, Arthropoda, Insecta, Thysanoptera, Thripidae. The record is from RefSeq and is a predicted model, not a curated record.
UGUCGUCUGCAGUCGAGCACUCGUGCAGCCCGCAGCUCUUAAAAAGUGAGGUAAGGUUUUCAGAGAAACGGUGACGCAGGUGGAGAGGGCAGGUCGUCGCUCGUGACGUGCGGCCGGGUAGCCGUCGGGCGCUUGCCUCGGUGAAACGUAGGUGCUGGGGCUGAUCAUCCAUCGUACAUCCCAGGCAUGCCGGAGGACACCCUCUCAAUGGACCCGGACCGGACGACUGUUGAGGAGAGUGCAGAAAGUGAAGAGUCCGAAAUGGAGUGACUUCGGUUAUUGAAGUUUCUGCCUAUUAAGUGUCUCUUUUUAUUGUACCUGAUAAAUGUAAAUAAAUGUAUGUAUUUCCAUUUUUAA